UGACCAGUCUCUUAUUUUUUCAGAGGCUCAAGGCCAUGCGGACAGCCGGGUCAAACUGCCGA
RNAcentral lists this small RNA (62 nucleotides) under uncultured Ruthenibacterium sp. Its description in RNAcentral is "Streptococcus sRNA SpF59 (ldcC RNA)". It matches the Rfam family "Streptococcus sRNA SpF59 (ldcC RNA)". Lineage: Bacteria; Bacillati; Bacillota; Clostridia; Eubacteriales; Oscillospiraceae. The record is from RNAcentral.